CUCCUUGGUUAAUAUCGAAUCACUGCUCAUAUUCUAACAGUGUUCCUCAUUUAGCUCUUUCAUAAACGAGCCUAGUUCUCAAUCCUCCGUCUCUACUGAUUUUGCCUGCAAUUGCUCUUUCACUAUUUUCAUCGGAAACUGCUGAAUCCGAGAGGAGACUUUUUUGUUACUUCGCUCAGCUCUCCGGGCAAAAACAAAGAUAUACAUGUUUGCAAGUUAUGCAUCACGCAGCUUCUUACGGUCUUCCGCUUCUCUCACAGUGUUUCCCGUUCAACAGCAAAUUAUACCCAUUGCAAAAAUUCUGUCAAAAACUUCUGUGCACAUUCCAAAUUGAUUUACUGAUGGUAGUGGCUCGACAACUGCAAUUAUUUCUGAAUUCAUUUAGGAAAAAUCAUCCUGGAGAAGUUCUAACAAUAUGCGUGCAAGUCAAUCGAUUUUGGCCUACGUAGAAAAGGAACACAUCUUUCCACCGGGUAUUGGCGAGAGGAAACAAAAAAGAAACUCAAGCCUCUAAGUACCAGGAGGUCACGGGUUUGAGCCGUGGAAACAGCCUCUUGCAGAAAUGCAUGGUAAGGCUGCGUAGAUAGACCCUUGUAGUCCGGCCCUUCACUGAACCCCGCGCAUUGCGCGAGCUUAGUGCACCGUCUGCCCUUUUUAAGCCUCUAAGUACUAAUGAGGUAGAAAUGGAAGCAGCGGUUGUGAUAUCUGAAUCUUCUAAGCACAAGGCUGAAGCUAGAAGAUUGAGUCCCCCAAAGUAUCUAUAGUUGAGGAUUGAGAUUACUUCUAUUCUCUGACUUCUAAAUUGGUGUGAUUAUAAUAUUAUGCAGCAUAGAUUAUGCUUCCUUCCUUACAAUUCUGAUUGUCUUCCUUUUGCACUAAUUUAUGUUUUCCAAAGUCAAGAAGUAUCAACCUUUUUUUGGGGAUCUUUUGCUACUGAAAAAGAAAACCUUUUUGGGUUCUCAAUUGAAUGCUAAAGUCUCAUUCCCCCUACCCUUCACAAUAUUAUUUCUAAUGUAAGUUAAUCGAGUGAACUUGUGAAUGAAAAGGGAAUGUAUCACUGCCAACAUGCGCUAUUUUUAAGAAUGAGUUGAUGCAGGCUACAAAAGCAUUAUGUGGUGGUGGUGAUCAAUCAUUAAAAACUAGGGAGGAUGAUUAUGCUGGUUAUGAAAAUUUUUGGUUGCCUAAGUGUUCUACAUUUACAGGUAAAGCAAUGUGCCACUUUCUUUUACGUUAGUUCAAACAAGUGUUGCCUCUAAUUACAUGAGAUUAGUUGAUCUUAGUAGAUAUUUACAUCUAUUUUAUCUUGGUUUAGUUGUCGAGAGACUUUGCAAUAAACAAUAUGACAUUACAUAUGCUAACUUUUCAAAUUUCUUCUAGCUUAACCUUAAGCACUUUGAGGUAGAAUUUUCCUGCAGCGAUUUUUCAGGUCAAAGUUUCUUUUAAUGUGUUCCAGCUACAUUUAUUUGGAACAUUUAGGGAAUUCAUAUUAUAUUUUAGUAUAUGCAAGGGUAGAGUAACUCACUAAUGUUCAAAAUACAAUAUGAGGCUUAUGGGUUGUGUUCCAUAAAAAUUGGCUACUAAGGUUAGUACUACAGCUCCAGCUCAGAGGCAAAGCCAAGAUUGAGGCUUAUGGGUUGUGUUCCAUAAAAAUUGGCUACUAAGGUUAGUACUACAGCUCCAGCUCAGAGGCAAAGCCAAGAUUGAGGCUUAUGGGUUAUGUUGUACUGAAGAUACAAACAGUUUAUGUAUUUUUUCCGAUAUUAUGUAUGUAAUAUUUAUAUGUUAAUGGUUUCACUAGACACUGCACUUAUGCCUUCUUCA
Molecule: long non-coding RNA, 1821 nt
Organism: Nicotiana tabacum (common tobacco)
Lineage: Eukaryota; Viridiplantae; Streptophyta; Magnoliopsida; Solanales; Solanaceae
Source: RefSeq, a predicted model, not a curated record